GAGGAGGAGGAGGAGGAGGAGGAGUUGGAGGAGAUGAUUUCCCUUCAUGGUGUCUUUAGGUUCAGAGGGUAAAACUGUAAUGAUCUAGAACCCAAGUUACCCAAAUUGCUAAAGAGUUAAUUUGGGUUUUGUUUUGCCCACUUUUCUAGGGUGGAUAUCAAAAUUGAGAAAUUAAUCUGAAAUCUGUUCUUUACCUAAAACGGCAAAGGAAAAAUAAUUGAACAAAGACACCACUGUUCUUGCAAAGUUAGCGUAUUUGUUUCCAUUACCUACUUACGUCUUUGAACGCCUGUGUGGAAACAGUUAUACAACCUGUGCAUAUAUCUACCUAUUAUACAGCAUGCACAUCUGUAUGUGUGUGUGUGUGUGUCUGUGUGUCUGUGUGUCUGUGUGUCUGUCUCUCUAUCUGCCUGUCAAUCAAUCAAUCAAUCAAUCAUCUAUUUGCUAUCAUCCCACCCUCCUUUUUACUAUGCUUACGUGACCAGAGUUAUAUAAUUCACAUAUACUUUCUUUUUAUUUAUUUUUCCUUCUCUUCCCUCCCUUCCUUCCCCUUUUCUUCCCUUCAAGUUCUCUCUAGUCACUCUAUCUAUGUCUUACAAUGCUUCUGUGCUGGUUACAUCUCUCUCUCAUUCUCUAUCUCUCUGUCUCUCUCUCUCUGUCUUUCUCUCUCUCUCUCUCUCUCUCUCUCUCGCAGUUGGUACCCCCUACUACGAUAGUAUCUUUGGGGUGCUAUCUGUUCCUGGUACAAAAGGAUGGUUAGCCUGUAUACCAAGCUAUCACAGUAUAUAGACAGUUCUGGGGAAAUGACCCAUCUGUUCACCUCUCUGAGGAUGAGAGCAAAGCUCCUGACUGUGAAGUUUCCUCCCUCCCCACCCCACAUCCUACAAAGGUAUCACAGGUAAAACCACCAAUCGCAGGAACUAGCACUUUCAGCAUCAAGACUUUCAUUUUAAACUCACUGUAGUAUUUUUUGCUCACUCCCAAAGAAGAAGAAAGGAGAGAAAGACAGAGAAAUAGAGCAAGAAGAAAAAUGAAAACAAACAGAACAGAGAAGUUAGAACUGCUGGUCUCAAACAAUUGAACUUCUCUAUCCUCUGAACCCUAUAGUGAGAGCCAAGAGUUCACUAUACAGAUGCACUCUGUGGACAUCGAGUACUCUUCAUUCUAGAUGGUAUGAAGUAAGAAAAGCCUCUGCAUAUUACUUAUGUAAUUCAUCCUUGCUAUAAAUACCAGCAGGAAAGAGCCCAGAAAAUUGUGAAGUAGCCUCUUCUGGGCUCCGGUCCCAUAGCCAGGAAACGUAAGCAUUGGUUUGUUUCCUGGUCACCAGUGAUGUUGCUGAAGGGACAGAGAUAAGAAGCUCAAGUCUGUACAAGGCAGUCAUUUCUGAGGAUUUCACUGACCUGUGGCCAAGCCAGGUUGACAGAAAUGAAAACAUCAGAAAUCCUUUCUUGCCUGAACCGUAUACACAUAGAGAAGAACUGAAAAUACUCAUUUCCGCCCAAAUUACCUAUCACUCCAAGCUACUGAGUGCUCUAACCCAAAGGCAGUAAGACGUACAGAACAUAGACUGGCCAUCUAUGCAUAUGCCUACAGGUAUCUACAAGGCACAUGAGUAAAACCCCCCUUGGUUAUAGCUGAUAUUCAAGUUGGCCAAAUCCAUGCUUGGAAGCACGGGGAGUGUACUCAGGAUUUAUUUUGUUCAGACGUACCAACAUGUUUCAGUUUUUCAUCACUAGCAUGUGCAUCCUCAACACUUAGGCAGUUUUCAUGUGGACCUACUAUGUGCUGCUCUCUGCCCUACUAUGCGUCAAUAUAUCCUUUCAUUCUUGAAAAGCUGGACGGGAGAGCUUGCAUUUUUUUCAAAUGAUCAUUUUCACACAUGACUGCUAAAACUCAGUUUUGUUUCCUGGUCACAUAAUCAGAAAAGCUGCGACAAAGCAUGCCUGGUCCCUAGUUAAAUGUGUUUUCCAUCACAACAGACCUGGCUAAGAAUAAUCAUACCAUGGCUGAUAGGAUAAUUAUUUUUAAAAGUUUCAUCUAAUCAUUAUCUAAAUAAGAUUGCCUUUCAGAGAAGAUAUUAUGCACACUUAGACAACAAACCUUGUUUCACAUUUAUUUAUUUAAACACAGUCUCAAUAGACAGUCCAGCAUACACUGUAACUAGUGACACAGCUCAUGCUGGCCCCAAACUCAGCAGCCCUCCUGCCUCAGCCUGUGGAGUGCUGGGAUUCUCGAUGUGUGUCACCACACAGACCCUGCAUUUUUUUUAAACCUGUGAAGAACCAUUGUUAACAUGGUUUCCAAAGAUUUUCCUGAGAAUAAACUGUAUGCUGAACUGGUC
Mus musculus (house mouse) is the source of this 2341-nucleotide long non-coding RNA. RefSeq annotates it as predicted gene, 57500. The record is from RefSeq and is a predicted model, not a curated record. The transcript is spliced from 2 exons. Lineage: Eukaryota; Metazoa; Chordata; Mammalia; Rodentia; Muridae.